ACUGUACAACAAUAAUCACGCCUAAAUCUUGAUAGUCUUCACUCGUUCGAAUUUUCAUCUUCUACUUUUUCCUCGUUCGAUUCCAGUUUUCAAUGGCGUUGAACUAAUUCAAUUCGUCUCUUACAUUGUCUUCGUGGCGUUGCCCUUGACGGUCAUUUCCAGAUCCCGCCAUGGAAGCCCGAUGUGAGCAUCGAAACGAGCUCCAUGAUCAGAGUGGCGGUGCGGCCGAUCGGUUCGUUUCCGAUGAAUCUACUGCGGGACUACUGGUCGAUGCUUCUGCGGUACCAAUGGAUUCCACUUUCGGCCAUAAGUUUGGUUUAUGCUUCUGCGGUACCAACGGAUGCUUCUGCGUUACUGCGGAGAGGUUACCAUCAGUCAUUCGCGGUCCGAUCCUGCCGUACCUAAGGUGAUCAGCCAUUUUAUAAAAUCUGCUCUUCCUUUGAAGCCUGGUGGUGAAGUGAUCAUACCUGUGACCUUAAAAGGCCUGGCAGCUUGGGUUGGCUGAUUCUGAUAUUAAGGCACUCCAACGAUGGUAGCAGCCCUAGUUUCUGGAUACAUUAUGCAGGUAUUUAUUUCUAAUUACUUCCUUUACUUAGUUCAAGCAUUGGUUUUUUCUCUGUUCUGUUAUUACAAAAGGAAUUGUCAAAACAUUGUAACCCUAUUAAGUAUUCUAUUUAUAAUUCUUAUUUUA
Molecule: non-coding RNA, 691 nt
Organism: Cucurbita pepo subsp. pepo (vegetable marrow)
Lineage: Eukaryota; Viridiplantae; Streptophyta; Magnoliopsida; Cucurbitales; Cucurbitaceae
Source: RefSeq, a predicted model, not a curated record